Molecule: non-coding RNA, 105 nt
Organism: Chelonoidis abingdonii (Abingdon island giant tortoise)
Lineage: Eukaryota; Metazoa; Chordata; Testudines; Testudinidae
Source: RefSeq, a predicted model, not a curated record
GCAGGAUCAGGCAUGGCUCUAGGAAUUUUGCAGCCCCAAGCACGGCAGGCGUGCUGCCUUCCGCGGCUUCCCUGCAGAUGGUCCUCUGGUCCCACGGCUUUGGCA